AGGAAGAAAUAAGAGAGGGCAAGCGGAUUAAAGACGAGACAAAGGAUGAAAAAGAUCUUAUGUGGGCUGUCUUUUCAACUAAUUUUCUGAUUGGUUUUCCUUUGUCUUUCG
RNAcentral lists this non-coding RNA (111 nucleotides) under Heterosigma akashiwo. The record is from RNAcentral. Lineage: Eukaryota; Raphidophyceae; Chattonellales; Chattonellaceae.